RNAcentral lists this unclassified non-coding RNA (365 nucleotides) under soil metagenome. Its description in RNAcentral is "partial contains 5.8S ribosomal RNA, internal transcribed spacer 2, and large subunit ribosomal RNA". The stretch from base 1 to 120 matches the Rfam family "5.8S ribosomal RNA", at positions 35 to 154 of the family's 154-position model. The record is from RNAcentral.
GAUGAAGAACGUAGCGAAAUGCGAUAACUAAUGUGAAUUGCAGAAUUCCGUGAAUCAUCGAGUCUUUGAACGCACAUUGCGCCCCCUGGUAUUCCGGGGGGCAUGCCUGUCCGAGCGUCAUUACAACCCUCAAGCCCGGCUUGUGUAAUGGGCGGCCGUCUCUCCCCCCGGGGGGAGACGCCCCCGAAACUCAGUGGGGAUGUCGCGAUACCGAAGCCUCAGCUAAUGGGUAAACCACAGCUGCAAUGGCCGCGGCCGGCGUCCGCCUUCCACGGUCCGUCCGCCUAGCGCGGGCGGCCUUCUCAAGGUUGACCUCGGAUCAGGUAGGGAUACCCGCUGAACUUAAGCAUAUCAAUAGCGGAGGA